UACAGAGGUCCCAAGCGUUGUUCGGAUUCACUGGGCGUAAAGGGUGCGUAGGCGGUCGGGUAAGUCUGAUGUGAAAUCCCCGGGCUUAACCUGGGAACUGCAUUUGGGACUGCAAGGCUUGAGUGCGGCAGAGGGGGGUAGAAUUCCACGUGUAGCAGUGAAAUGCGUAGAGAUGUGGAGGAACACCGAUGGCGAAGGCAGCCCCCUGGGUCAAGAUUGACGCUCAUGCACGAAAGCGUGGGGAGCAAACAGG
Molecule: ribosomal RNA, 253 nt
Filed under: uncultured bacterium
Lineage: Bacteria
Description: partial 16S ribosomal RNA
Rfam family: Bacterial small subunit ribosomal RNA
Source: RNAcentral